ACGUCUCUUUUUUUUUUUCCCACUUUUUCCUUUACACUCCACUCUCACUUUCUAAGAAGUUUGUGGCUCGGAUCUCUCUUCUCCCUCUCCAUAGAUUCCGUCGCCAUGGCAUAGAGGUUUCUCUUGGAAAUUGCUAAUAGACCCAGGAGACGAGGAAUAGAAAUAUAAGGAAGAGGCUAAAUGAAGUGAAACACAACCAUCCAUUUGCAGGAUUACAUCAAAGAAUGUCAGUUUCCAGCGCAUACCUUCAAAUAUUUUUCUGUGGGAAAAUCCAAAUCAUGCUAUGGUUGGUGAGUGAUCCAAGCUAUGGUUGGUGAGUGAUCCAACGGCAAGAGCAAAGAACUUCAUGAUGUCUUCUCUACCACAGAAGGAUGAUGCCAUGAUAUAGUUGUGUGUGAAUAUUAAAGAUGGAUGAGUUCUAAUUGUUUGCUUCACAGUCUAUUCCACGCCAUUUCAUCAUACUCUUGAGUUAACACUACCAUAAUCCUUAUCACUAAUAGAAUACUAGAUGGUCUGUGCCCGUG
Molecule: long non-coding RNA, 524 nt
Organism: Nicotiana attenuata
Lineage: Eukaryota; Viridiplantae; Streptophyta; Magnoliopsida; Solanales; Solanaceae
Exons: 3
Source: RefSeq, a predicted model, not a curated record